RNAcentral lists this ribosomal RNA (440 nucleotides) under uncultured bacterium. Its description in RNAcentral is "partial 16S ribosomal RNA". It matches the Rfam family "Bacterial small subunit ribosomal RNA", at positions 338 to 795 of the family's 1533-position model. The record is from RNAcentral.
CCUACGGGUGGCAGCAGUAGGGAAUAUUGCUCAAUGGGGGAAACCCUGAAGCAGCAACGCCGCGUGGAGGAUGAAGGUUUUCGGAUUGUAAACUCCUUUUGUUAGAGAAGAUAAUGACGGUAUCUAACGAAUAAGCACCGGCUAACUCCGUGCCAGCAGCCGCGGUAAUACGGAGGGUGCAAGCGUUACUCGGAAUCACUGGGCGGAAAGAGCGCGUAGGCGGGAUAACAAGUAAGAUGUGAAAUACUAUGGCUUAACCAUAGAACUGAAUUUGAAACUGUUAUUCUAGAGUAUAGGAGAGGUAGGUGGAAUUCUUGGUGUAGGGGUAAAAUCCGUAGAGAUCAAGAGGAAUACUCAUUGCGAAGGCAACCUGCUAGAACAUAACUGACGCUGAUGCGCGAAAGCGUGGGGAGCAAACAGGAUUAGAUACCCCUGUAGUC